This 497-nucleotide ribosomal RNA is filed under the name uncultured bacterium. Its description in RNAcentral is "partial 16S ribosomal RNA". It matches the Rfam family "Bacterial small subunit ribosomal RNA", at positions 28 to 507 of the family's 1533-position model. The record is from RNAcentral.
GAUGAACGCUGGCGGCGUGCCUAAUACAUGCAAGUCGAGCGAACGGACGAGAAGCUUGCUUCUCUGAUGUUAGCGGCGGACGGGUGAGUAACACGUGGAUAACCUACCUAUAAGACUGGGAUAACUUCGGGAAACCGGAGCUAAUACCGGAUGAUAUUUUGAACCGCAUGGUUCAAAAGUGAAAGACGGUCUUGCUGUCACUUAUAGAUGGAUCCGCGCUGCAUUAGCUAGUUGGUAAGGUAACGGCUUACCAAGGCAACGAUGCAUAGCCGACCUGAGAGGGGGAUCGGCCACACUGGAACUGAGACACGGGCCAGACUCCUACGGGAGGCAGCAGUAGGGAAUCUUCCGCAAUGGGCGAAAGCCUGACGGAGCAACGCCGCGUGAGUGAUGAAGGUCUUCGGAUCGUAAAACUCUGUUAUUAGGGAAGAACAUAUGUGUAAGUAACUGUGCACAUCUUGACGGUACCUAAUCAGAAAGCCACGGCUAACUACGUG